This 511-nucleotide ribosomal RNA is filed under the name uncultured bacterium. RNAcentral describes it as "bacterial SSU rRNA". It matches the Rfam family "Bacterial small subunit ribosomal RNA", at positions 19 to 518 of the family's 1533-position model. The record is from RNAcentral.
AUGGCUCAGGAUAAACGCUGGCGGCGUGCUUAACACAUGCAAGUCGAACGGAGUGGUUCUCCCGAGGAUUGAUGGUGCUGCACUGAUGACUCAUUGAAUCACUUAGUGGCGGACGGGUGAGUAACGCGUGGGAAACCUGCCCUAUACUGGGGGAUAGCAGUUGGAAACGACUGAUAAUACCGCAUAAGCGCACAGGGCCGCAUGGUCUAGUGUGAAAAACUCCGGUGGUAUAGAAUGGUCCCGCGUCUGAUUAGCUAGUUGGUGAGGUAACGGCCCACCAAGGCGACGAUCAGUAGCCGGCCUGAGAGGGUGUACGGCCACAUUGGGACUGAGACACGGCCCAAACUCCUACGGGAGGCAGCAGUGGGGAAUAUUGGACAAUGGGGGAAACCCUGAUCCAGCCGACGCCGCGUGAACGAUGAAGUAUUUCGGUAUGUAAAGUUCUAUCAGCAGGGAAGAUAAUGACGGUACCUGACUAAGAAGCACCGGCUAAAUACGUGCCAGCAGCAGC